RNAcentral lists this ribosomal RNA (250 nucleotides) under uncultured Bacteroidota bacterium. RNAcentral's name for it is "uncultured Bacteroidetes bacterium partial 16S ribosomal RNA". It matches the Rfam family "Bacterial small subunit ribosomal RNA", at positions 524 to 773 of the family's 1533-position model. The record is from RNAcentral. Lineage: Bacteria; Pseudomonadati; Bacteroidota.
GACGAAGGAUGCAAGCGUUAUCCGGAUUCAUUGGGUUUAAAGGGUGCGUAGGCGGACCUGUAAGUCAGUGGUGAAAUCUCUCAGCUUAACUGAGAAACUGCCAUUGAUACUGCAGGUCUAGAGUAUAGAUGACGUUGGCGGAAUAUGACAUGUAGUGGUGAAAUACUUAGAUAUGUCAUAGAACACCGAUUGCGAAGGCAGCUAACGAAACUAUAACUGACGCUGAGGCACGAAAGUGCGGGGAUCAAAC